GCUCGGAUGGUGGAAUCGGUAGACACGCAAGACUUAAAAUCUUGUGACCAAAUGCGGUUGUGCGGGUUCAAGUCCCGCUCCGAGUA
RNAcentral lists this transfer RNA (86 nucleotides) under Bacteroidales bacterium. RNAcentral's name for it is "tRNA-Leu". It matches the Rfam family "tRNA". From Rfam's summary of the family: Transfer RNA (tRNA) molecules are approximately 80 nucleotides in length. Their secondary structure includes four short double-helical elements and three loops (D, anti-codon, and T loops). Further hydrogen bonds mediate the characteristic L-shaped molecular structure. tRNAs have two regions of fundamental functional importance: the anti-codon, which is responsible for specific mRNA codon recognition, and the 3' end, to which the tRNAs corresponding amino acid is attached (by aminoacyl-tRNA synthetases). tRNAs cope with the degeneracy of the genetic code in two manners: having more than one tRNA (with a specific anti-codon) for a particular amino acid; and 'wobble' base-pairing, i.e. permitting non-standard base-pairing at the 3rd anti-codon position. Lineage: Bacteria; Pseudomonadati; Bacteroidota; Bacteroidia; Bacteroidales. The record is from RNAcentral. RNAcentral also lists the same sequence under 1 other name.